GCCAAUGUGAUGUAGUGGUUUGAAUGUUGGACUAUGACUCUAGAGACCAAGGUUUGAAUCCCAGCUUGAUCA
RNAcentral lists this transfer RNA (72 nucleotides) under Phrynosoma platyrhinos (Desert horned lizard). Its description in RNAcentral is "tRNA-OTHER". The record is from RNAcentral. Lineage: Eukaryota; Metazoa; Chordata; Lepidosauria; Squamata; Phrynosomatidae.